RNAcentral lists this ribosomal RNA (433 nucleotides) under Salmonella enterica subsp. enterica serovar Typhimurium. RNAcentral's name for it is "partial 23S ribosomal RNA". It matches the Rfam family "Bacterial large subunit ribosomal RNA", at positions 2002 to 2437 of the family's 2925-position model. The record is from RNAcentral. Lineage: Bacteria; Pseudomonadati; Pseudomonadota; Gammaproteobacteria; Enterobacterales; Enterobacteriaceae.
UAAUGAUGGCGGCGCUGUCUCCAGCAGAGACUCAGUGAAAUCGAAAUCGCAGUGAAGAUGCUGUGUACCCGCGGCUAGACGGAAAGACCCCGUGAACCUUUACUACAGCUUUACAUUGAACUUUGACCUUACCUGUGUAGGAUAGGUGGGAGGCUUUGAAGCAGGCACGCCAGUGUCUGUGGAGCCAUCCUUGAAAUACCACCCUGGUAAUGUUGGGGUUCUAACUCAAGCUUAACAGAGCUGAGGACAAUGUAUGGUGGGUAGUUUGACUGGGGCGGUCUCCUCCUAAAGAGUAACGGAGGAGUACGAAGGUGCGCUCAGAACGGUCGGAAAUCGUUCGAAGAGUAUAAAGGCAAAAGCGCGCUUAACUGCGAGACCCACAAGUCGAGCAGAUACGAAAGUAGGUCUUAGUGAUCCGGUGGUUCUGUAUGGA